GACGAACGCUGGCGGCGUGCUUAACACAUGCAAGUGGAGCGACGAACCAGGGCUUGCCCUGGGGCAGAGCCGCGAACGGGUGAGUAACACGUGGGUUACCUACCCCGAUGACCGGGACAACCCGAGGAAACUACGGGCUAAUACCGGAUGUGGUCUUCGGACGAAAGGAAGCUUCGGCCUCCGCAUCGGGAUGGGCCCGCGGCGCAUUAGCUUGUUGGUGGGGUAACGGGCCUACCAAGGCGACGAUGCGUAGCUGGUCUGAGAGGACGAUCAGCCACACUGGGACUGAGACACGGCCCAGACUCCUACGGGAGGGCAGCAGUGGGGAAUCUUGCGCAAUGCGCGAAAGCGUGACGCAGCAACGCCGCGUGGGGAAGAA
RNAcentral lists this ribosomal RNA (379 nucleotides) under uncultured bacterium. Its description in RNAcentral is "bacterial SSU rRNA". It matches the Rfam family "Bacterial small subunit ribosomal RNA", at positions 28 to 412 of the family's 1533-position model. The record is from RNAcentral.